UACGAAGGGGGCUAGCGUUGCUCGGAAUCACUGGGCGCAAAGGGUGCGUAGGCGGGUUUUUAAGUCAGGGGUGAAAUCCUGGAGCUCAACUCCAGAACUGCCUUUGAUACUGAAGAUCUUGAGUUCGGGAGAGGUGAGUGGAACUGCGAGUGUAGAGGUGAAAUUCGUAGAUAUUCGCAAGAACACCAGUGGCGAAGGCGGCUCACUGGCCCGAUACUGACGCUGAGGCACGAAAGCGUGGGGAGCAAACAGG
RNAcentral lists this ribosomal RNA (253 nucleotides) under uncultured bacterium. RNAcentral's name for it is "partial 16S ribosomal RNA". It matches the Rfam family "Bacterial small subunit ribosomal RNA", at positions 524 to 776 of the family's 1533-position model. The record is from RNAcentral.